Molecule: long non-coding RNA, 268 nt
Filed under: Sorghum bicolor (sorghum)
Lineage: Eukaryota; Viridiplantae; Streptophyta; Magnoliopsida; Poales; Poaceae
Description: long non-coding RNA (SBIC_LNC016742)
Source: RNAcentral
GCACUCCGAGGUGCCUGCAGGUCCAAGGGGAAGUCACGCGUCGUAUGUGAUAAUUUGUAAUGACAUAUGGUUUCAAUUAACCCAUCCUUAACUGUUUGCCACUCGAUCCCAACUCUCCGAUUGUCAUUUUACAUGGAAAUCUGCAUUGUUAUGAUCGGAGAGAGAAUAUAAACACUACAUUGUUAUCUCUCAUUCCCAAAUUGUAAGUCAUUUCAAGAAUCUUGAAGAAUCAAAGUAUUUUCACGUUUAACCAAAAUUAUAGAGAGAA